Molecule: ribosomal RNA, 254 nt
Filed under: uncultured bacterium
Lineage: Bacteria
Description: partial 16S ribosomal RNA
Rfam family: Bacterial small subunit ribosomal RNA
Source: RNAcentral
AAGCGAGCCUGCGAGGGGGAGCGAAUCCCAAAAAUAACGUCCCAGUUCGGAUUGUAGUCUGCAACCCGACUACAUGAAGCUGGAAUCGCUAGUAAUCGCGGAUCAGAAUGCCGCGGUGAAUACGUUCCCGGGUCUUGUACACACCGCCCGUCACACCAUGGGAGCCGGAAAUGCCCGAAGUCAGUGGCCCAACCGCAGGGAGGGAGCUGCCGAAGGUGGAGCUGGUGACUGGGGUGAAGUCGUAACAAGGUAUC